Long non-coding RNA from Etheostoma cragini (Arkansas darter), 442 nucleotides. RefSeq lists it as uncharacterized. The record is from RefSeq and is a predicted model, not a curated record. The transcript has 2 exons. NCBI's taxonomy places the organism in Eukaryota, Metazoa, Chordata, Actinopteri, Perciformes, Percidae.
UCUUUCUCCAAACCACCAUGGGGGUGUUGUCUCAACGUCUUCAUAAUUGACAGGUAUAAUUUAGAUUUGAAAUCUCUCCCCGGUGCAGUUUUUAGGUAUUGAUUGGCUUGUGAUGUCAAAGUUAAGUCAAAGUAAGACACUGAGCCAGUGUUGUGGGCAAGACCACCUUAACCAAGAGCAAGUCAUCACCAAGACCAGAGUGUUUCGAGACCGAGACCAGAUCAAGACCAGACCAGUGCGAGUCCCACACUGCAUGACCCGAUAAAAUGUGGAAAAUGCUAAUCAUAGGCACUCCUCAAAUUGAUCUGAAAGAUUUACAGUCCCAUGAAAAAACACCCACAGAAAACCAAUUGAGAUUGUUCUUCAUUCACCUAUUUUAUUGCCAUAAGUGUAACAUGAGAAAUGCCCUAAUAAAAUAAUCAAAAGGCAGUUGUGGUCUUGA